GCGAGGCUGAUUCGAUAUCCGCGUCGUACCCAGCAGUCAAGUGUGAUAACGUAAGGGAAGAUAAUGACAUUACCUUACUAUUAGUGUUGUCCAAAUCUGGUGCCAGAAGACUCGGUAAGGCCAGAGACGCAAACGUUAGUCGUCUUAAUCAGGCGUAAAGGGUGUGUAGGCAGCUUUUAACUUUAUUCUUUUUCUAAAUCCUCAUUAAUCGAGGAAGAAAUAUAGACUAAUAUUAUUAUUAAAUAAAUAAUAAAAAUAUUAAAGAAGGGAAUGAACUAAUAAAAGCUAGAAUCAAAUAGAGGAUAUAUUAAAUAAUAUUUAGAGUAGGGGCGAUAUCCUUAAAUACUAAAUGGAAUAUUAAAGGCGAAAGCUUUUUAUCUACUAAUGAUUGACGCUGAAACACGAAGGUGAGUAUAGGAAAUAGGAUUAGAUACCCAGAUACCACUCACUGUCAACGAUGAAUGGUGGUUACUAGUAAAAAAAUAAAUUAGUAGCUAUGUUAACGCGAUAACCAUUCCGCCAUGUGAGUACAACUGCAAAGUUGAAAACAAAAAAAUUAGUCGGUCUCGAAGCAAACGAAGUGAAGCAUGUUAUUUAAUUCAAUAAAUCCGCGA
This 614-nucleotide ribosomal RNA is filed under the name Phylloporia perangusta. Its description in RNAcentral is "Phylloporia sp. SJD-2018a partial small subunit ribosomal RNA". It matches the Rfam family "Bacterial small subunit ribosomal RNA", at positions 399 to 964 of the family's 1533-position model. The record is from RNAcentral. Lineage: Eukaryota; Fungi; Basidiomycota; Agaricomycetes; Hymenochaetales; Hymenochaetaceae.